UUUAUGUGUCGGUGAAUUCAUACAGCGCACACUCUACAUUUGCACGGUUUAGUAGUUUAUUAUGUUCAUGCACCACAGGUUUAGGGUUGAGGUUAAGGGUUUUUCUUUCUAAAAAUCGCACUGUACACAACAAAAUCACCACCUCAUAAAAUAGUUAUGCUUUCUCAUGAGAUUGGGUUGCUUUGCCCCUGGCGAACCCCUAGUUAUUUUAGGAAUUAUCAGGGAAGAAGUGGUUUAGAAAUAUAUGUGCUUUGAUUAUGUGUAAAUGUGAUUUUUGAGGGCAAUAUUUUGAUUAUAUUAAAAUUUUAUUUUAAAUUAUCUUGACCAUCUCCCAAUCUCCCCUAAAAAUAAAUAAUAAUAAUAAUAAUAAAAAAAUCAAUUAAAUGCGUUCCUUGUGGAUCAUCUCUGUCAUUGGAGGGGAUUUGCCUGGAGAAACAUUAUUAAGUAGCACAUUGGACUUUUAAUUAAAAAAAAAAAAUAAUAAUAAUGUCUCAGUUUGUUGGUGAGCCAAACGAAUGCCAAAAAAGAGGUGAACUGGCUAUCCUUUAUAUUUACAUUAAGUAAUAAUUGACCAAAUGCUAUAGAGUUAGCGCACAAUCAAUGAGUAUUAGCCUUACGAAACUUUAUGCCUUUUUGAUAUUCCCUCACGCUCACUCUGUCAUCCCAUCUCUACAAUGGCUAUAGACUAUAAACGACCAUGUGCUGCGGGUGACAGAGAGGUGAACUGCUCAUUUGGGCUGGAACACGUGCAGCCUCCCUCUUCUUCAGCUACUCACGCGCUGUUCCUCAAAGAUGCCCUGAAAGACACCCGUCUCCCACGCUCGGUUCAGCCACCACACCGCGAUUUUCCCUCGCUGUCGUCUCCACCGAGCGAGCGCGCGUGGAGGGAGGGCUUGCCAACCGGGUGUCAUGGAAACUGAGCCGUGUGUAUUACGUCAUUAGUCUGAGUUGCGAGUCUUCUCUUUUCUUUGCCGCUCGCAAAUAAGGAGCAUCACGCACAUGCCUCACAACAGCAGUUGAGUAACGCUACAGGUGCUGUUGUGUCUGUCUAUCUUCUUUCUGCUGUUCUCUCUUUACUCUUCUGCUUUAAUUUAUUGUGCUGUUUUCCUAAGGCUUCUGUUGCCACUGUUGCUGACAACAUCAUUUCCUUUUUGGUAAUAUUUAUCCUUCUAAUUUUUGUUAAGUUUAGUCACAGCUAAUGUAACAAAACACACUGUGAUGAUUCCAGUAUUAAUAAAAGUU
This is a long non-coding RNA of Cyprinus carpio carpio, 1242 nucleotides long. Lineage: Eukaryota; Metazoa; Chordata; Actinopteri; Cypriniformes; Cyprinidae. The record is from Ensembl.